Long non-coding RNA from Peromyscus eremicus (cactus mouse), 452 nucleotides. RefSeq lists it as uncharacterized. The record is from RefSeq and is a predicted model, not a curated record. The transcript has 4 exons. Lineage: Eukaryota; Metazoa; Chordata; Mammalia; Rodentia; Cricetidae.
GUGCAGAAAAACAUGUAAUAAUGCAUCAGGAGAGAACAUCUGUCAUGGAAGACCAAGAGCAUGCCUCAGAAGAGCAGAGGCAGCACAGUGCUAGAAAAAAUAAGCGGCCAUUUAUUGAUGCUAUAAGAGCAUGCUUUUGUGCAUGUUUCACCAAAAAAUGGAGCUCUUCUUCCCACUACAAGAAAUAGAAGAGAAAACAUAAAAAAGUGAUGAACUUGGACAAGCCUACGACAAUUGCCUGACAACUUCUCCGACCAUCCACAAUAAGACAACUCAGGAGAAAAUCUGUCUCUUCUCCAAUAAUUGCUUCAAAAAAAGCACAUUUUUAUUUUAUGUUUUAGAAUAAUAUAGUAUUAUAUUACAUAAUCUUCAGUGUUAUUUUCACCUAUUUAUUUUGUUUUAUUAUGUUAUACUAUAUUACACUAUUAUAUUAUCUUGUUUUUAUUUCCAUA